CAAUAGCGUAUAUUUAAGUUGUUGCAGUUAAAAAGCUCGUAGUUGGAUUUCGGGUGGGACGCAGCGGUCUCGCAUUGCGUUUGUACUGCUGCAGCCCUCCUUCUUGCCGGGGGCGGCCUCUCGGACUUCACUGUCUGGGGGUCAGAAUCGGCGAUGUUACUUUGAGUAAAUUAGAGUGUUCAAAGCAAGCUUACGCUCUGAAUAUAAUAGCAUGGGAUAACACGACAGGACUCUGGCCUAUCGUGUUGGUCUAUAGGACCAGGGUAAUGAUUAAGAGGGACAGUCGGGGGCAUUCGUAUUCCGUUGUCAGAGGUGAAAUUCUUGGAUUUACGGAAGACGAACAUCUGCGAAAGCAUUUGCCAAGGAUGUUUUCAUUGA
Molecule: ribosomal RNA, 378 nt
Filed under: uncultured eukaryote
Lineage: Eukaryota
Description: partial 18S ribosomal RNA
Rfam family: Eukaryotic small subunit ribosomal RNA
Source: RNAcentral